AUUUCGAUCUGAACUUGAAGACUAUGAUGUCAAUAGACCUGACCGCUUAUUGAAAUCUGCUAUACCAAAGAUUUGUGGGUGUUGCGAAACAUUGGAAUGUCUUAAUAUUCCUUCAAGCUCACAAGAAACUCCUUGCGCUAAAGCGUCAGCAAUGCCGAUACUUGAAAAAUAUCUCGAUGAAAAUGAACCACCUAAAAAGAAACAAAUUGUGGAAGUGCAAGAAGCUAUCGUUUUACCUGUUUGUUCAUUAUUUAAAAAUAACAGAAAUAUAUUAAAACCAAUGUUAAAAAGGUUUAAAAUCAGAUGAUCAGAGAGAUAUAAAAUGGAAUUUGUCAGUAAUUUAUGUAAGUCAAAUUGUGAUAAUUACCAUGUAUUAAUGUAUCUAAGAAUGAGAUGUUUAUUUUGUAAUAACUAUUUAAGAAUCUUGACGUUCAUAAGUGUUACCGUGUGAC
Molecule: long non-coding RNA, 452 nt
Organism: Aricia agestis (brown argus)
Lineage: Eukaryota; Metazoa; Arthropoda; Insecta; Lepidoptera; Lycaenidae
Exons: 3
Source: RefSeq, a predicted model, not a curated record